RNAcentral lists this unclassified non-coding RNA (209 nucleotides) under soil metagenome. RNAcentral describes it as "partial contains 5.8S ribosomal RNA, internal transcribed spacer 2, and large subunit ribosomal RNA". The record is from RNAcentral.
AACCAUAGAAACCUGCGGAGUACCUGCGGAAGGAUCAUUACCGAGUUAUACAACUCAUCAACCCCUGUGAACUUACCUACAACGUUGCUUCGGCGGGAACAGACGGCCCCGUAAAACGGGCCGCCCCCGCCAGAGGACCCCUAACUCUGUUUUUAUAAUGUUUUUCUGAGUAAACAAGCAAAUAAAUUAAAACUUUUAACAACGGAUCU